Molecule: transfer RNA, 69 nt
Filed under: Notopteryx soror
Lineage: Eukaryota; Metazoa; Arthropoda; Insecta; Hemiptera; Coreidae
Description: tRNA-Ser
Rfam family: tRNA
About the family: Transfer RNA (tRNA) molecules are approximately 80 nucleotides in length. Their secondary structure includes four short double-helical elements and three loops (D, anti-codon, and T loops). Further hydrogen bonds mediate the characteristic L-shaped molecular structure. tRNAs have two regions of fundamental functional importance: the anti-codon, which is responsible for specific mRNA codon recognition, and the 3' end, to which the tRNAs corresponding amino acid is attached (by aminoacyl-tRNA synthetases). tRNAs cope with the degeneracy of the genetic code in two manners: having more than one tRNA (with a specific anti-codon) for a particular amino acid; and 'wobble' base-pairing, i.e. permitting non-standard base-pairing at the 3rd anti-codon position.
Source: RNAcentral
AGUUAAAAAACUUUAGAUAAGUAUUUACUUUGAAAGUAAAAGACAAUGGUUAAAUUCCAUUAUUAACUU